Non-coding RNA from Rhagoletis zephyria (snowberry fruit fly), 73 nucleotides. The record is from the annotation of a RefSeq genome assembly. NCBI's taxonomy places the organism in Eukaryota, Metazoa, Arthropoda, Insecta, Diptera, Tephritidae.
UCCGGGUUAGCUCAGUUGGUAGAGCGUUAGGCUUUUAACUUAAAUGUCGCGAGUUCGACCCUUGCACCCGGAG